Long non-coding RNA from Brachypodium distachyon (stiff brome), 1232 nucleotides. RefSeq lists it as uncharacterized. Lineage: Eukaryota; Viridiplantae; Streptophyta; Magnoliopsida; Poales; Poaceae. The transcript has 3 exons. The record is from RefSeq and is a predicted model, not a curated record.
AUAAUUAAAACAAACGGCAUGGCGUGGCUUUGCCGGAGGCUCCAUUUUUGGUCUUCGGCAAAGAAAUUCCAACUUAAAAAAUAAAUAAAAACAGCGCAAAGCCGCCUGCCGCUGCAGCCCACCAUCAAGCUGCUGCUCGGGGGCCGCUUGUCCGCCGCCGCUGCUCCGGGGAGAGAAGGGGAGAGAUAGGGGCGUGUGGAGAGCCAGGGCAGCCCGCGUCCGCCUGCCGCCGGAGCUGCUGGCCGUGCCUCGCCGCCUCCGCUGCGGUUCCCCCGGUCGCCCGCCCGCACCGCUGCGUCGUCGUGCCCGCUACCCAGCCCUGCCGCCAACCUAUCUGGGCCGCCUGCCUGCAGCCGCUGCCCAUGCUCGCUGCCCGGUCUCGCCGCCGCCCCUGCUCUUCGCGCCGCCUGCAGCCCUGCACGCACGCUCCGCCGGUUGAAGCCGGGUCACAGAGAGAGAGGGAGAGAGAGCGCGCGCCGCCACUGCUUGCCCAGCCGCCGGGCGGGCCACCCGCUGCCGCGCCUCGCGCCCCCGCUACUUGCCCCGCCGCCGGGAGCGCCCCCUGCUGCCGCGCCUCGCUGGGCAGGCCGUUAGAUUUGGUGGUUGAUCUCGCUCAGGAAAUGGUCACUCAUGUGCAAAGAUGGUGGGUGAACUCUUUCUGCCAGGCGGUGUCUCAAAUCUUAGGGGCACCCUUGCUACUGACCUGGAUCUGAGAGAUACAUUUUCAGGUUCUCCCCCUCCAUCAGGGGUUAUCAUAUCAGUGCGUAGAUUGCUUUGCACGACAUCAGAGCUUGACCAAACUUUAACGUCCAGCGUAGCUUCACUGAAGAACCAAUGUCAAUGCCUAACUGACGCUCCCUGGUCACAUGUAACAGCCACAACCCACAACUGUAUUAAUGCAAACUCCGGUUGACCGGAUUUCUAUUAAUGUGGAUGCAGCGAUCUUUGCUUCUUCUUCAAGCUCAGCUGCUGGUGUGGUGUUCAGGAACCACUUGGGUGCUUGUGUGCUGGCCUGCUGAUAAUUCUUCACUAACACUUCCUCACCUGAAAUUGCGGAGGCUCUCGCUAUGCGAUGUGCUGUUGCUCUUGCUGUGGAAGAGGGUUUUCAACGUGUGGCCUUUCAAUCCAAUUGUCUUGGCUUGGUUUUAAAGCGGAAUUCUACUGCCAGAGAUAGAACCACAACAGGCUCCAUUAAUGUAGCUGAGAUCAAGAAUGGCUUCUGAUUUUUCUUA